This 432-nucleotide long non-coding RNA is filed under the name Nicotiana tabacum (common tobacco). RNAcentral describes it as "long non-coding RNA (NTAB_LNC016749)". The record is from RNAcentral. Lineage: Eukaryota; Viridiplantae; Streptophyta; Magnoliopsida; Solanales; Solanaceae.
UUUACUAAACCCUAAUUUCUUCUUCAUCUAAAUUCUGCCGAAAUUGCAUCAAAUUGCCAUUUGAAGUUUUGAUCUUUAAAAGCAAAGGUUAAUCUUUCUCCUCCUUAAGAACCCUAAUUUCUUCUUUUAUUAUUGUUAUGUCUUUCUCCUAAAAUUCAAUUUCUCUCGGUUAAACAUUGUAAUGUGGCUGAUGUUUCUAAUUUUUUCGUCGGCAAAUUAUCUGACUUUGGUAUCGUUUGUUUGUGUUGUAGUUGUUGCAAUGCCUUCAAAACGCUUGAAUUUGACAAGGCUUUGCACGGAAGAGGAAGAAAAUGAGUCAAGUGGAGAAAUUUGAUGCCACCAUAGCUAUGUGCUGCCUUUGUUAACAGCUUGGACCCCUUAGAGCCCAGGAAGAAGAUAUUGGGUUUGUCCAUACUAUGGGGUAAAUAAUAG